UGCUUUAGACUUGCGAAUCUUCACCCUAUUCUUUAGGAGGGCUCCUGAGCUUACAACUGAUUAUGUUCACCCUGUUCUUUAGGCGGGCUCCUGAGCUUGCAACUGAUUAGGUUCACCCUGUUCUUUAGGCGGGCUCCUGAACUUCCUUUUCUUUACCCUGUUCUUCAGGAGGGUUCCUGAACUUUCUUUUUUUUAUUUUUCAACUAUUUUCCUGAACUCAAAAUAAAAAGUGAAAUAGAAAAAAAAAACAUCCCAUUCUUCAGGAGAGUCCUGAGCAAAAAAUAAAUUCCCAUUAUUCAGGAGGGUUGUCCUGAACAAAAAGUAAAUUUCCAUUCUUCAGGAGGGUCCUGUCCCAUUCUUCAGGAGGGUCCCGAACAAAAUGUCAAUUCUCAAUAAACACGAAUAAAAUUUUUGCCCCAGUUAGCACUAGAAAAUUUUGUGAGAGUCAUCAGAUCACAACUUUUAAAAAGUACAGUAAAAAAGGUAAAUCAAGUCCAUGCUAAAGAAAUGCAUUUUUUCAAAGUAAAACUAAUGACCAAAAUUAGGAAAUUCGUCUCCUAACACAUGAAAUUUAAAUUAUCCAGACAAGGAAGUGUGUCUCCUAGUGGUUAAAUGAAAUGACUCAACCAAAAAGUGAAUUUUCUAGGAGUGAAGGUUCCAGUUAAGAAAUGCAUCACCUAAUAAAUUAAACAUGAAUUAUCCAGACUAGGAAGUGCGUCUCCUAGGGUUCAAUGGAAGAACUAGACAAGACAAUGCGUCUUUUAGGAGUAAUGGUUCAAGCUAAGAAGUGGGUUACCUAACACAUGAAAACUGACAUACCCUGACUAGGAAGUGCGUCUCCUAGGAGUCAAAUGAAAUGACUCGACUAGAAAGUGCGUCUUCUAGGAGUGAAUGUUCAAGUUAGGAAGUGUGUUACCUAACAAAUAAAAACUAACUUAUUCAGACUAGGAAGUGUGUCUCCUAGGGGUUGAAUGAAAUGACUCAACUAGAAAGUGCGUUUUCUAGGAGUAAUGAUUCAAGUUAGAAAGUGCUUCACGUAACAAAUGAAAGAUGACUUAUUCAGACUAGGAAGUGCGUCUCCUAGGGGUUAAAUGAAAUGACUCGAUUAGAAAGUGCGUCUUCUAGAAGUGAAUGUUCAAGUUAGGAAGUGCAUUACCUAACAAAUGAAAACUAACAUACCCUGACUAGUAAGUGCGUCUCCUAGGGGUUAAAUGAAAUGACUCUACUAGAAAGUGCAUCUUCUAGGAGUAAUGAUUCAAGUUAGGAAGUGCAUUACCUAACAAAUG
RNAcentral lists this long non-coding RNA (1286 nucleotides) under Capsicum annuum. RNAcentral's name for it is "long non-coding RNA (CANN_LNC016826)". Lineage: Eukaryota; Viridiplantae; Streptophyta; Magnoliopsida; Solanales; Solanaceae. The record is from RNAcentral.